CAGUAGCCGCGGGAAUACCGAGGGUGCGAGCGUUAAUCGGAUUUACUGGGCGUAAAGCGUGCGUAGGCGGCUAAUUGAGUCGGAUGUGAAAUCCCCGAGCUUAACUUGGGAAUUGCAUUCGAUACUGGUUAGCUAGAGUGUGGGAGAGGAUGGUAGAAUUCCAGGUGUAGCGGUGAAAUGCGUAGAGAUCUGGAGGAAUACCGAUGGCAAAGGCAGCCAUCUGGCCUAACACUGACGCUGAGGUACGAAAGCAUGGGGAGCAAACAGGAUUAGAUACCCCUGUAGUCCCUGUCUCUUAUAC
This 301-nucleotide ribosomal RNA is filed under the name uncultured bacterium. RNAcentral's name for it is "partial 16S ribosomal RNA". It matches the Rfam family "Bacterial small subunit ribosomal RNA", at positions 509 to 807 of the family's 1533-position model. The record is from RNAcentral.